This 478-nucleotide ribosomal RNA is filed under the name uncultured bacterium. RNAcentral describes it as "partial 16S ribosomal RNA". It matches the Rfam family "Bacterial small subunit ribosomal RNA", at positions 28 to 507 of the family's 1533-position model. The record is from RNAcentral.
GAUGAACGCUGGCGGCGUGCUUAACACAUGCAAGUCGAACGGGAAAUAUUUCAUUGAGACUUCGGUGGAUUUGAUUUAUUUCUAGUGGCGGACGGGUGAGUAACGCGUGGGUAACCUUCCUUAUACAGGGGGAUAACAGUCAGAAAUGGCUGCUAAUACCGCAUAAGCGCACAGAGCUGCAUGGCUCAGUGUGAAAAACUCCGGUGGUAUAAGAUGGACCCGCGUUGGAUUAGCUAGUUGGUGGGGUAACGGCCCACCAAGGCGACGAUCCAUAGCCGGCCUGAGAGGGUGAACGGCAAGAGUGGGACUGAGACACGGCCCAGACUCCUACGGGAGGCAGCAGUGGGGAAUAUUGCACAAUGGGGGAAACCCUGAUGCAGCGACGCCGCGUGAAGGAAGAAGUAUCUCGGUAUGUAAACUUCUAUCAGCAGGGAAGAUAGUGACGGUACCUGACUAAGAAGCCCCGGCUAACUACGUG